UGCAGUCGAGGGGUAACAGAGAGAAGCUUGCUUCUUUGCUGACGACCGGCGCACGGGUGCGUAACGCGUAUACAAUCUACCUUUUGCUGAGGGAUAGCCCAGAGAAAUUUGGAUUAAUACCUCAUAGUAUAUAUGAAUCACAUGGUUUAUAUAUUAAAGGUUACGGCAGAAGAUGAGUAUGCGUUCUAUUAGCUAGAUGGUGUGGUAACGGCACACCAUGGCAACGAUAGAUAGGGGCCCUGAGAGGGGGAUCCCCCACACUGGUACUGAGACACGGACCAGACUCCUACGGGAGGCAGCAGUGAGGAAUAUUGGACAAUGGGCGAGAGCCUGAUCCAGCCAUGCCGCGUGCAGGAAGACUGCCCUAUGGGUUGUAAACUGCUUUUAUACAGGAAGAAACACUCCCUCGUGAGGGAGCUUGACGGUACUGUAAGAAUAAGGAUCGGCUAACUCCGUGCCAGCAGCCGCGGUAAUACG
Molecule: ribosomal RNA, 477 nt
Filed under: uncultured bacterium
Lineage: Bacteria
Description: bacterial SSU rRNA
Rfam family: Bacterial small subunit ribosomal RNA
Source: RNAcentral